UACGGGGGGAGCAAGCGUUGUUCGGAUUUACUGGGCGUAAAGGGCGCGUAGGCGGUCAGCACAAGUCAGUUGUGAAAUCUCCGGGCUUAACUCGGAAAGGUCAACUGAUACUGUGCGACUAGAGUGCGGAAGGGGCAACUGGAAUUCUCGGUGUAGCGGUGAAAUGCGUAGAUAUCGGGAAGAAUACCCGUGGCGAAGGCGGCCGACUGGGCCGUCUCCGACGCUGAUGCGCGAAAGCGUGGGGAGCAAACAGG
RNAcentral lists this ribosomal RNA (254 nucleotides) under uncultured bacterium. RNAcentral's name for it is "partial 16S ribosomal RNA". It matches the Rfam family "Bacterial small subunit ribosomal RNA", at positions 524 to 776 of the family's 1533-position model. The record is from RNAcentral.